This 563-nucleotide ribosomal RNA is filed under the name uncultured bacterium. Its description in RNAcentral is "bacterial SSU rRNA". It matches the Rfam family "Bacterial small subunit ribosomal RNA", at positions 102 to 694 of the family's 1533-position model. The record is from RNAcentral.
ACGGCUGAGGAACACGUGGGAACCUGCCGCCUUGUGGGGGACAACAGCGCGAAAGCGCUGCUAAUCCCGCAUACGCUCGCGCAAGCGAGGAAAGCCGAAAGGCGCAGGGCGAGGGGCCCGCGGCCCAUCAGGUCGUAGGUGGGGUAACGGCCUACCUAGCCGAUGACGGGUAGCUGGUCUGUGAGGACAGACAGCCAGACUGGGACUGAGACACGGCCCAGACUCCUACGGGAGGCAGCAGCAAGGAAUUUUCGUCAAUGGGGGCAACCCUGAACGAGCAACGCCGCGUGCAGGAUGACGGCCUUCGGGUUGUAAACUGCUUUUGGGAGGGACGAUGAUGACGGUACCUCCUGAAUAAGGCUCGGCUAACUCUGUGCCAGCAGCCGCGGUAAUACAGAGGAGCCAAGCGUUGUCCGGAUUGACUGGGCGUAAAGCGCACGCAGGCGGUCGCGCGCGUGGGGUGUGAAAUCUGGCCGCUUAACGGCCAGGCGCCAUCCCAUACGGCGCGACUGGAGGCUUGCAGAGGUCGGUGGAAUUGCCGGUGUAGUGGUGAAAUGCGUAGA